UACGAGGGGGGCGAGCGUUGUUCGGAAUUAUUGGGCGUAAGGGGUGCGUAGGCGGUUUGGUAAGUCUUGUGUGAAAUCUACAGGCUCAACUUGUAGUCUGCACGAGAAACUGCCGGGCUUGAGUAUGGGAGAGGUGAGUGGAAUUCCUGGUGUAGCGGUGAAAUGCGUAGAUAUCAGGAGGAACACCUGUGGCGAAAGCGGCUCACUGGACCAUAACUGACGCUGAUGCACGAAAGCUAGGGGAGCAAACGGG
Molecule: ribosomal RNA, 253 nt
Filed under: uncultured bacterium
Lineage: Bacteria
Description: partial 16S ribosomal RNA
Rfam family: Bacterial small subunit ribosomal RNA
Source: RNAcentral